CAGUCGCCACGGUAAUACAGAGGGUGCGAGCGUUAAUCGGAUUUACUGGGCGUAAAGCGUGCGUAGGCGGCUAAUUGAGUCGGAUGUGAAAUCCCCGAGCUUAACUUGGGAAUUGCAUUCGAUACUGGUUAGCUAGAGUGUGGGAGAGGAUGGUAGAAUUCCAGGUGUAGCGGUGAAAUGCGUAGAGAUCUGGAGGAAUACCGAUGGCGAAGGCAGCCAUCUGGCCUAACACUGACGCUCAGGUGCGAAAGCGUGGGGAGCAAACAGGAUUAGAUACCCCCGUAGUCCCUGUCUCUUAUAC
This 301-nucleotide ribosomal RNA is filed under the name uncultured bacterium. RNAcentral describes it as "partial 16S ribosomal RNA". It matches the Rfam family "Bacterial small subunit ribosomal RNA", at positions 509 to 807 of the family's 1533-position model. The record is from RNAcentral.